RNAcentral lists this ribosomal RNA (446 nucleotides) under uncultured bacterium. RNAcentral's name for it is "bacterial SSU rRNA". It matches the Rfam family "Bacterial small subunit ribosomal RNA", at positions 330 to 792 of the family's 1533-position model. The record is from RNAcentral.
ACCAGACUCCUACGGGAGGCAGCAGUGGGGAAUAUUGCACAAUGGGGGAAACCCUGAUGCAGCGACGCCGCGUGAGUGAAGAAGUAUUUCGGUAUGUAAAGCUCUAUCAGCAGGAACGAGACAAGACGGUACCUGACUAAGAAGCCCCGGCUAACUACGUGCCAGCAGCCGCGGUAAUACGUAGGGGGCAAGCGUUAUCCGGAAUCACUGGGUGUAAAGGGAGCGUAGACGGCUGUGCAAGCCUGAAGUGAAAGGCGGGGGCCCAACCCCUGGACUGCUUUGGGAACUGUACGGCUGGAGUGCAGGAGAGGUAAGUGGAAUUCCUAGUGUAGCGGUGAAAUGCGUAGAUAUUAGGAGGAACACCAGUGGCGAAGGCGGCUUACUGGACUGUAACUGACGUUGAGGCUCGAAAGCGUGGGGAGCAAACAGGAUUAGAUACCAGAGUA